Molecule: long non-coding RNA, 1304 nt
Organism: Clupea harengus (Atlantic herring)
Lineage: Eukaryota; Metazoa; Chordata; Actinopteri; Clupeiformes; Clupeidae
Source: Ensembl
GAACUACGAGCAGUACUUUGUAAAGGCGCAGCAGGUGCGACGUGUGAUCUCCGAGGACUUCAGCGGGGUGUUCAGCUCUAGGGUAGAAGUGCUGCUCACACCCACCACCCUCGGUGACGCUGCGCCUAACGGGAUUUCAUCAGCGAGGACAACCGCACACGCAGUGCCCAGGAGGACGUCUUCACACAGCCUGCCAACAUAGCCGGUCUCCCAGCGGUCGCCGUGCCAACAGCGCUGUCAUCUCGAGGUCUCCCCAUAGGCCUGCAGCUGAUUGGACAACCACUACAGGGCAGGAUGUUGCUGGCAGUAGCCCACAGGAUGGAGCAGCGAGUGAGCUUCCCUCAGAUCCGUUUCCAUGAAGACAGUGAAGAAAGGCCAGAGACCUGAAAUAACCUGAGGCUCACUAGUACACUUUGACUUAGGCUGUGAUGUGCUGUGAAGGUUCUGUUGCCUCUGCCAGUGAUGGAGAAACACACCUACACACGUACCAUUGAGAUCUAUUACAUAUUUAGACCCUCUGAUGUGAUGUGUGUGUGUGUGAGUACUAGUGUGAUGCAGAAGCCUGUCCAGGAUGCAGUAUACCCUCAGCUCACAUGGUUGUUGACAGUGCGUGCAGUGACAUCAGCACAGAUGAACAGUUGGUCUGUGGCGUCCCUUUUGUGAAACUAGCGUGAACUCAACACCUCUGAGUAGCCAGAACCUUCAAACAUGGGUGCUAAACUCAACCCUGGACCACAGUCACCGUGGCAACCGGGGGAUGCAAGUCAUUUCCGGUCUAUCUCUUGCUUCAUGGGGUGAUGAUAUCAUUGGUGCGAAACACUCAUGAGAGUGGAAAGGUGAAGCAGGGAUAUGGUGUUCCUCUGAGAUGUGCUACUGUGAUGCAGAAGCUUCUGGAGGACACAUAUUUCUGUCUUUAUUUGAGGCAUUCUGCGUCCAGCCUGAUAUGUUCACAGGUAGACUCUGGCUGGCUGGCUGGUUAUCAAUCCUCUAAUAAAGUUGACCUGCUAAUGUUUCAAUAAUCAGGUUCUGGCAGCAAUGUCACACGUCAUCAUUCCACAGCUUGCUGGUUACUAGUGCUUGUUAGUAGACAUGCUAUUCUUAAACAUGUAACAUGAUUAAUGAGACUACAAAUCAGUGAGACAUAAAUCAUUUAUUAGAUGGACAUUGAUAGUCCACAGUUUAAGCCCUUAAAACACAGUUACAUGCAUUGACAUUGUUUUCAUUCCAAAUCCAGUAUGGAGCAUUCUGAUCAGUUCAUCACUACCAGGCCUAGCUGUGCCUAAUCUAGAAUGUUAAGAUGUGAA